AGUGGAUGGGGAGCAACCUAGUUGUGCGUGUGUAAAGGUAGUGCCAAGAAAAGCGAUGAUCAUGUUGAAAAUCAAUUCCCGGUACCCGAAACCGACACAGGUGGGCAAGUAGAGAAUACUAAGGGGCGCGAGGUAACUCUCUCCAAGGAACUCGGCAAAAUGACCCCGUGACUUAGGGAGAAGGGGUGCCACCGAGAGGUGGUCGCAGUGAAGAGGCCCAGGCGACUGUUUAGCAAAAACAUAGGUCUCUGCAAACUCGAAAGAGGAGGUAUAGGGGCUGACGCCUGCCCAGUGCCGGAAGGUUAAAGAAGUUGGUCAGUUUUAGGAUGAAGCUAGCGACUGAAGCCCCGGUGAACGGCGGCCGUAACUAUAACGGUCCUAAGGUAGCGAAAUUCCUUGUCGGGUAAGUUCCGACCCGCACGAAAGGCGUAACGAUCUGGGCGCUGUCUCGGAGAGAGGCUCGGCGAAAUAGGAUUGUCUGUGAAGAUACGGACUACCUGCAUUUGGACAGAAAGACCCUACGAAGCUUUACUAUAGCUUGGAAUUGUGUUCGGGCUUCCUGUGCGCAGGAUAGGUGGGAGGCGUAGAAGGUAUUCUUGUGGGGAUACUGGAGCCAACGGUGAGAUACCACUCUCAGGAGGCUAGAAUUCUAACUUAAUUAAGGACAGUUUCAGGUGGGUAGUUUGACUGGGGCGGUCGCCUCCAAAAAGGUAACGGAGGCGUACAAAGGUUCCCUCAGACUGGUUGGAAAUCAGUCGAAGAGUGCAAAGGCAGAAGGGAGCUUGACUGCGAGAAGUACAGUUCGAGCAGGGUGGAAACACGGUCUUAGUGAUCCGACGGUGCUGUGUGGAAGGGCCGUCGCUCAACGGAUAAAAGUUACUCUAGGAUAACAGGCUGAUCUCCCCCAAGAGUUCACAUCGACGGGGAGGUUUGGCACCUCGAUGUCGGCUCAUCGCAACCUGGGGCGGAAGUACGUCCCAAGGGUUGGGCUGUUCGCCCAUUAAAGCGGUACGUGAGCUGGGUUCAGAACGUCGUGAGACAGUUCGGUCCAUAUCCGAUGUAGGCGUGAGAAUAUUGAGAGGAGCCUUCCUUAGUACGAGAGGACCGGGAAGGACGCACCGCUGGUGUACCUGUUAUGAUGCCAAUUGUAAACGCAGGGUAGCCAAGUGCGGAGAGGAUAACCGCUGAAAGCAUCUAAGUGGGAAGCCCACCUCAAGAUGAGUAUUCUGGUGUAAGGUCACGGGAAGACGACCCGUAAAUAGGCACGAGGUGGAAGUGCAGAGAUGUAUGAAGCCGAAGUGUACUAAUAGACCGUCGGCUUGACCG
RNAcentral lists this ribosomal RNA (1326 nucleotides) under metagenome. RNAcentral's name for it is "bacterial LSU rRNA". It matches the Rfam family "Bacterial large subunit ribosomal RNA", at positions 1561 to 2925 of the family's 2925-position model. The record is from RNAcentral.